This 460-nucleotide ribosomal RNA is filed under the name uncultured bacterium. RNAcentral describes it as "partial 16S ribosomal RNA". It matches the Rfam family "Bacterial small subunit ribosomal RNA", at positions 338 to 795 of the family's 1533-position model. The record is from RNAcentral.
CCUACGGGUGGCAGCAGUGAGGAAUAUUGGUCAAUGGACGAGAGUCUGAACCAACCAAGUAGCGUUAAGGAUGACUGCCCUAUGGGUUGUAAACUUCUUUUAUAUGGGAAUAAAAUGUUCCACGUGUGGGAUUUUGUAUGUACCAUAUGAAUAAGGAUCGGCUAACUCCGUGCCAGCAGCCGCGGUAAUACGGAGGAUCCGAGCGUUAUCCGGAUUUAUUGGGUUUAAAGGGAGCGUAGGUGGAUUGUUAAGUCAGUUGUGAAAGUUUGCGGCUCAACCGUAAAAUUGCAGUUGAAACUGGCAGUCUUGAGUACAGCAGAGGUGGGCGGAAUUCGUGGUGUAGCGGUGAAAUGCUUAGAUAUCACGAAGAACUCCGAUUGCGAAGGCAGUUCACUGGACUGCAACUGACACUGAGGCUCGAAAGUGUGGGUAUCAAACAGGAUUAGAUACCCCAGUAGUC